Molecule: unclassified non-coding RNA, 321 nt
Filed under: uncultured fungus
Lineage: Eukaryota; Fungi
Description: sequence contains ITS2
Source: RNAcentral
AACGCACAUUGCACUCCUUUGGAGUAUGCCUGUUUGAGAAUCUAUUGUAUUCAUUCGCCUGCAUUUAUUUGUAAGCGAGAUCUGAGGCUUCUCUCGUCAGAGAGUGCCUUUAAAUGGAUUGCAUUUGAUGGGAUUGUAGUGUUUGAGUCUCUAUCCUCUGCAGAAAAGUAUUUGAAUGGAACUGAGGUUUCUCGUAUGCUAAAUAUGCAGAGCAGAGAGUAGUUGCAGUCUCGCAGGUGUCCAUAACCUUAAGACUAUGCUAGCAAUAGCGUAGCCUUGAACCAUGGUCUCAAAUCAGGUAGGAAGACCCGCUGAACUUAA